This 465-nucleotide ribosomal RNA is filed under the name uncultured bacterium. RNAcentral describes it as "partial 16S ribosomal RNA". It matches the Rfam family "Bacterial small subunit ribosomal RNA", at positions 28 to 507 of the family's 1533-position model. The record is from RNAcentral.
GACGAACGCUGGCGGCGUGCUUAACACAUGCAAGUCGAACGGAAAGGCCCCUUUGGGGGUCCUCGAGUGGCGCACGGGUGAGUAACACGUGAGUAACCUGCCCUUGUCUUCGGGAUAACUUCUGGAAACUGGGGCUAAUACCGGCUAGUAAUCCUUUCUGCAUGGUUGGUGUUGGAAAGCUUCGGCGGUUUUUGAUGGACUCGCGGCUUAUUAGCUUGUUGGUGAGGUAGUGGCUUACCAAGGCGUUGACGGGUAGACGGCCUGAGAGGGCGACCGGCCACAUGGGGAAGGAGAUAAGGCGCAGAAGCCUAGGGGAGGAAGCAGGGGGGAAGAAUGGACAAAGGGAGGAAGCCUGAGGCAGCAACGACGCGGGCGGGAAGACGGAAUUCGGGUUGUAAACCGCUUAAAGCAGGGGCGAAGCUUGUGGUGACGGUACCUGAAGAAGAAGCACCGGCUAACUACGUG